GUCAACGCGCUCGUAUCUUUAGCUGUGGGCGUCAACGACGUUUUUUUCGGUAGGGUAAUGAAAAUGUUCUUGCCUGGUCAAGGAAAUAUAUUGCAAUGCUGACACGAAAGUAAUAUCAUGUUACAUGUUUAUGAAUACAUAUUAAUACUCAGUAUACACAGUUUAACAUUAAGCGUAAAAAAGAAAUCAAUGGGCUUAUAGAAACUAG
This is a non-coding RNA of Paramuricea clavata, 208 nucleotides long. NCBI's taxonomy places the organism in Eukaryota, Metazoa, Cnidaria, Anthozoa, Malacalcyonacea, Plexauridae. The record is from the annotation of a GenBank genome assembly.